GACGAACGCUGGCGGCGUGCCUAAUACAUGCAAGUUGAGCGCUGAAGGUUGGUACUUGUACCAACUGGAUGAGCAGCGAACGGGUGAGUAACGCGUGGGGAAUCUGCCUUUGAGCGGGGGACAACAUUUGGAAACGAAUGCUAAUACCGCAUAAAAACUUUAAACACAAGUUUUAAGUUUGAAAGAUGCAAUUGCAUCACUCAAAGAUGAUCCCGCGUUGUAUUAGCUAGUUGGUGAGGUAAAGGCUCACCAAGGGGAUGAUACAUAGCCGACCUGAGAGGGUGAUCGGCCACAUUGGGACUGAGACACGGCCCAAACUCCUACGGGAGGCAGCAGUAGGGAAUCUUCGGCAAUGGACGAAAGUCUGACCGAGCAACGCCGCGUGAGUGAAGAAGGUUUUCGGAUCGUAAAACUCUGUUGGUAGAGAAGAACGUUGGUGAGAGUGGAAAGCUCAUCAAGUGACGGUAACUACCCAGAAAGGGACGGCUAACUACGUG
RNAcentral lists this ribosomal RNA (497 nucleotides) under uncultured bacterium. RNAcentral describes it as "partial 16S ribosomal RNA". It matches the Rfam family "Bacterial small subunit ribosomal RNA", at positions 28 to 507 of the family's 1533-position model. The record is from RNAcentral.